This 481-nucleotide ribosomal RNA is filed under the name uncultured bacterium. RNAcentral's name for it is "partial 16S ribosomal RNA". It matches the Rfam family "Bacterial small subunit ribosomal RNA", at positions 28 to 507 of the family's 1533-position model. The record is from RNAcentral.
GAUGAACGCUGGCGGCGUGCCUAACACAUGCAAGUCGAGCGAAGCACUUACUUUAGAUUUCUUCGGAAUGACGAAGUUUGUGACUGAGCGGCGGACGGGUGAGUAACGCGUGGGCAACCUGCCCUGUACAGGGGGAUAACAGUUAGAAAUGACUGCUAAUCCCGCAUAAGCCCACAGCUUCGCAUGAAGCAGUGGGAAAAACUCCGGUGGUACAGGAUGGGCCCGCGUCUGAUUAGCUAGUUGGUAAGGUAACGGCUUACCAAGGCGACGAUCAGUAGCCGACCUGAGAGGGUGACCGGCCACAUUGGGACUGAGACACGGCCCAAACUCCUACGGGAGGCAGCAGUGGGGAAUAUUGCACAAUGGGGGAAACCCUGAUGCAGCGACGCCGCGUGAGCGAUGAAGUAUUUCGGUAUGUAAAGCUCUAUCAGCAGGGAAGAAAGUGACGGUACCUGACUAAGAAGCCCCGGCUAACUACGUG